GGAGAGGUGUCCGAGUGGCCGAAGGAGCACGCCUGGAAAGUGUGUGUACGUUUGCGCGUACCGAGGGUUCGAAUCCCUCCCUCUCCGCCA
RNAcentral lists this transfer RNA (90 nucleotides) under Thiotrichaceae bacterium. RNAcentral's name for it is "tRNA-Ser". It matches the Rfam family "tRNA". From Rfam's summary of the family: Transfer RNA (tRNA) molecules are approximately 80 nucleotides in length. Their secondary structure includes four short double-helical elements and three loops (D, anti-codon, and T loops). Further hydrogen bonds mediate the characteristic L-shaped molecular structure. tRNAs have two regions of fundamental functional importance: the anti-codon, which is responsible for specific mRNA codon recognition, and the 3' end, to which the tRNAs corresponding amino acid is attached (by aminoacyl-tRNA synthetases). tRNAs cope with the degeneracy of the genetic code in two manners: having more than one tRNA (with a specific anti-codon) for a particular amino acid; and 'wobble' base-pairing, i.e. permitting non-standard base-pairing at the 3rd anti-codon position. The record is from RNAcentral. Lineage: Bacteria; Pseudomonadati; Pseudomonadota; Gammaproteobacteria; Thiotrichales; Thiotrichaceae. RNAcentral also lists the same sequence under 1 other name.